ACGUACUGUGCGAACGUUAUUCGGAAUCACUGGGCUUAAAGGGUGCGUAGGCGGCAAAUCAAGUCAGGUGUGAAAGGCCUGAGCUCAACUGAGGCAUUGCGCUUGAAACUGAUUUGCUGGAGUAUUUCAGGGGUGUGGGGAACUGCCAGUGGAGCGGUGAAAUGUGUUGAUAUUGGCAGGAACACCGGAGGCGAAAGCGCCACACUGGGGAAUAACUGACGCUGAGGCACGAAAGCCAGGGGAGCGAACGGGAUUAGAUACCCCGGUAGUCCUGGCUGUAAACGAUGAGUACUGAGCGGAAGGAGGUUCGCCUCUUUCUGCUGUAGUGAAAACGUUAAGUACUCCGCCUGGGGAGUAUGGUCGCAAGGCUG
This 371-nucleotide ribosomal RNA is filed under the name uncultured bacterium. RNAcentral's name for it is "bacterial SSU rRNA". It matches the Rfam family "Bacterial small subunit ribosomal RNA", at positions 525 to 896 of the family's 1533-position model. The record is from RNAcentral.